Molecule: long non-coding RNA, 114 nt
Organism: Sapajus apella (tufted capuchin)
Lineage: Eukaryota; Metazoa; Chordata; Mammalia; Primates; Cebidae
Exons: 3
Source: RefSeq, a predicted model, not a curated record
UUCACUAGGGUUGAAAUGAAGGAAAAAAUGCUAAGGGCAGCCACUGAGAAAGGGUGGGUUACCCACAAAGGGAAGCCCAUCAGACUCACAGUGGAUCUCUCAGCAGAAAUUCUA